AGAUGAGGCAGAAACCGGAAAUUGAUCAGCAGUUAUCCAGAAGUCGAGGUUUGAGCUUCAAACAAGCCGAUGAAACACAUCAAUUUUUCACAACAACGGAAAAUUUAUCGUUAUCAGAUGGGACAAUUUCUACCUUCUGGCAUGAAAAUUAAAGAUAUUAUUAAUAACCUGUGGGGUAAUCAUUCACGAAUGACAUUGACAAGAGUCACCAAAGUACCGACCUCAACUCCAACAGGAGCUUCCAUCUUCGAUUUUUUUGCUGAUGCUGCUGCUGCUGCACCAGCGAUCUUUUGCCCUUGAGAUCUCGGUGCUCCAAAGCAUCGUUACCGCUGAAUUCCUUGGAUCAAAAUAGAUCGCCUACAUAAUAUGCCCUUCUUGGCGAAAUAUUUCAACGUUUGGACGUUUUUGAAAAUCCAAGCGAAUUGUAAGGAUUAUUGAGUUCAAAUAGAAAAAUAGCGUACAUCAUCUACAAGCAAAUUAUUCUAGACUUCCGAGGACAUUCCCGAGGGGAAAUUGUGGAUGGAACGACGACGCCGAAGUUCUGUUCUGCCGAAUUACAGCAACGAAAACUUGCAGGGCUAUGAUCGACGAGUGUAAUAAAGUCUAAAGGACCACCGACCGCUGACUUAUAUGGGCAUCUUUUUAUAAGGGAGCUUAAUCGAACCGAACUGAGCGCACAUGGAUUUGCCGAAAAAUCAUCAUUCUGAAUUGCAGUAAUGGUAAUACCAUGGAAAUUGUAUUCCAUGAGGGCCGAUUAAACAGCAAAGGCCGUCACAGUAAUAUCCGUGACAGUAACAUACAUUCUAUUCGGCGAUCGCAUAAGAUGUGUAUGUGGUUAUUGCAGUAAAAUCUUGGCGUACGGAGUAUAUACCGCAUACCUAUGUUGCUGCUGCAGCAAUAAACGACCUUGUCGCGAGGACGAAACAAGCUGCACCCGGCCCUUUCUUGGGACACCCUAUAUAUCGGCAGCAAAAUUUUUUUUCAACUUACCUAAAGAAUUCGCCACUCGUCCAGUCGGCUGCGGCAUGUCGGCAAACCUCGAGCUUAUAUAGCGCAUGGGCUGGCGUCAUCGGAGUACAUAAUGUAGAGUAAAAUAUACCCAUGGUGGGGAAUUUCUACAUCCGUCGAAUGAUGAAAUCGAACUUGAAAGACCACUGCGGCGAGCAAUGUCUCGAAGUAUAAGCUGGCGCGGGGUCUAACGAUGCAGUCUGCAGACAGAUAACUCGGCUGAACUGGCUACCCCCAUUGAAACCGGUUUUCUCCUUGAUAUCCUCUAUUUUUCUGAUGGACCAAAGCUGCUGCAGCCAGGCAACCGUAGCGGGCAGUGCCACUAUAAGUUUAUAUACACCGCAGCUACUGCAGACGUUACAGGCACAUCUUUUCAUCCCUGCAGAACCCUGAAGGAUUCACAGCCUCUGCACAACUGUCGCUGACAGGAAUGAGAUUUUUACACAUUUAGGCCCAGGCGAAGAAAGUAGAAGAAGAAGAGGAGGAAAAAGGAGAAGAAGAAGUAGAAGAAACCCCUAUAAAGUUCUUCUUCCACGGUUUCUGAAAAUAUUCUCUCUAAUCUCUGAGGAAGGAAAGUAAGUUUGUUUGAUCCACCUGUUGCUACUCACCCGUUCCCUUUUUAUGGGAUGGGAUUCACUGCGGCCUGCACAUAUGCGCAAACUGUUGUUGUUAUUAUUGUACAGUUUGUGCGCAACCCCAUAGGAUAAGCUAGCCAUACCUGACCCUUCGCAUCUAACUAUAGGUUGUACCCUAUGCUUUAUAGGUAUACAUAUAGGUAUCUACCUGCUUCUACCUGACCGAAAUUACGUCUACUGCAGAAGACUUUUUUCUUCUCCCUCUCCUGCAACUUCUCCCUCUGGAGUCUCCUGAUCGAAACCCUACUCUCCCAAGUCUGACUCCUGAGGUAGGAAUCGAAAGGGAAAAGUCGUCCUUUCAAUCACCGAGCCGCGAGCUGGUUCGUCCAACCACGAGCUUCGCGAUAGACGCGGCUUUGAUCGUGAAUCAAGUUAAAAGAAACUGCAGUGCGGAGGACUUGAGAGUGCAACGAGAUUCGCUGGCAUUCUUUCGACUUCGUUAUAGGGCUCAAUUACAUUUCGAAAUGUAAAAUCUGUCAAAAUUUUAUUCGUGUCUCGAUCCACACGAUUUAUGUAUCUACUCAUCCAGUUCGAAACAACGCAUUGAGCCAUCUUAUCCCGGAGAUAAAUAUUCUCAACAAUUUGCAGUUUGCAAGAAUCGGCUUUACAGGUGUCGGUGAGACGGUGAGUUCAAUCUGAUAUUACAUCGAUGUUCUCUUUUUCUUAUUUUUCUUCUUUUAUUGCAAUGUUUGCACGGUUAUUAAUAACUAUUCUCUAGAUUCCAUAACUGAUAAAUUCUCUGAGAAUAUCUGAGUUUACCCGUUAUUUUUCAAUUAUUUCACAUAAAUUAUACCUACAGUUGAAUUCUAUGAAUUAUUUAAUUCUUCAUUUCCAAUCGUACGUUCAUUUUGAUUAAUAUAUGGUUUUUCUCAAUACAGAAUCAUAGUCAGAUUUUUUAAUUCAAACGUCUCAUGCGCCCGUUAUCCACUUGAUCAGGAAAAUUAUUCACCGUGAAAUCGUGAAUAAUUGGAUUGAAUACCCAGAAAUUUCACCAGUUUAACUGAAAUGUGGUUCAAUAAUUAUCAAUUAAUUACAUCAUUUCAAUUUUGAAAACUGUUGAAAAAAACAUUCAAGCGUUAAUCCGUUAGAAGGGAUUCGAAAAUUAAUUUUUUUUUUUAUUUCAUGAUCUAUAAAAGCACAGAAGCUUGAGAUUUCGAAAAUUGUGCAAAUUCAUCUACUUGCGGCCAGGGCGUAUCCCUCAAAAAACGAAAAAUGUGAGAAAUCAAAUUUCCAAAGCGAGUUAAUUAAUGUGAAGUACAUAAAUUUAAAUUCGAUCCAAUUUUUCCAGUUCCCAAGGAAUAUACGCCCUUUAUCGUAGCAUUCUUAAGAAAUAAUUUUGCGGCAAUUAUGGUCGCAAAUAAAUUCGCUUAUUUCUUCCUAUGGCUAGAGUGCUGCCGACAAGACUUGAAAUUACACGCUGAUCGGGAUAAUUAUACGCCAUAAAAUUGAGGUGAAAAUUCAAAGCGUCAUUUUCUGCAGAUUUUCGAUGGCGUGAUGCAGUUUCUCAUUGCUGCAGGGGCACCAGCAGGUGGGCGUGUGUGAAAAUCUACUUAAAUUUUGCUAGACGGUUAUCCCUGCUGCUGCCGCUGCAGACACAGAACUUCGGUCAAGGUCGCGCAUUGUUUCACGUUUUAAUGCUUUCUACCCGGCAAGCAAGCCACUGCACCGUUUGCGUUCGUUCCAUGUAUCCAGACGGUCGUCGCUGGCGCGUCCCCCUUUCAUGCUUGCAGACCACGUUUCAAAAAACUGACCUUCAAAGGGUUGAGCCUUAUAACCCAUUUAUUGGGAGGAGUAAUGCUUGAAUUAAAAAACAUUUAUUUCAAUAAAGCAACGUUCAGAAAUUAUUCAAUUCAUCUUAAACAUUAUUGCAUUGUUUCUGCAUUAAUCAAUUUUUGAAAAUUAAUGGAACAAAGCAACAUUCAUUUCUCCUAUAUUUACAAUUAGUAGUAUUUUCGAAUGCCUAUCCAGUGACAAAUGAAAUAAAAUAUUUUCAAGUUGAUCGAACGGAGCACCCUAUAUUAAAUUCAUUGGUAUUAUACUAAUUUGCUACACAAACAACUUUUACUGUACAAUGUGGCUUUUGCAGUCGCCCAAUUCGACACCGUUAAUUGCUGCAUCCGCGCCGCUCCAUAAAACUAUCGCAUGAAAUUAUCGCGGCCGUUGAAGAAUUCUCCGUGCGAAAAUGUCUGCUCGAAGUUCUAUACGCAGUACUUCAUAGAGUUGAAUAAUAAAUACUAGUAACAAUUCAAGUAAAAUAAUUGAAAUAUUAUUCGCAAAACGCAUCGAGAAUUAAACUUAUACGGAUUAUUGUCGCUAGAUGACGAUCAUAUUCAUAUCUGCAGCGGAAGGUUUGUUGAUUUAAUACGGAGUCUCGUGUUGCAUCAAUAAUUACUGUAUAUAGGUAUAGAAUAUGAGUGUAUAUCUGUGUAAUGAUAAAUGAUAAUAAUGAUAGUAUCAAUUAAUAAAUUACGCAUCAAUGGCAGGUAACGAUCAUUUAUAUAAUCAGAGAAGAGCGGCAGAAAACUAAUUUUAGCGAUCUGAUAAUUCAAGAGGAAUUAUAUUCAACGUGAUUAGGUCCCUACAUAUAGAAAUUUAUUAGGAGUGAGAUAAAAACAAAGAUUGAUUGUUACUGUUAUUGAAUAUUUUUAUUACAUCAUUAAUUAUUUUUCAGGCGUAAACAUCAAGUAACUAUACAUGGUUUUUGUGAUCAGACUCGGCAUUAUUUUUGCUGCUCUUCGGCGCAGAUGAAUUUAUCAUCGACUUUCUGGCAGAGAGUGCCCGGUUCGCAUGAUGCCGUUUGCGGUACACCAAGUA
This is a long non-coding RNA of Athalia rosae (coleseed sawfly), 4457 nucleotides long. RefSeq lists it as uncharacterized. Lineage: Eukaryota; Metazoa; Arthropoda; Insecta; Hymenoptera; Athaliidae. The record is from RefSeq and is a predicted model, not a curated record. The transcript is spliced from 6 exons.